Gallus gallus (chicken) is the source of this 8791-nucleotide RNA transcript. RefSeq lists it as uncharacterized. NCBI's taxonomy places the organism in Eukaryota, Metazoa, Chordata, Aves, Galliformes, Phasianidae. The transcript has 4 exons. The record is from RefSeq and is a predicted model, not a curated record.
CACAGGAAACCUCACCCACUCUACCUAUUUUUGCCCACUGGCAUGUGGGCAGGUAUACCUGCCCUGUAUGCCUUAGCUCAGCACUGCAUCAUGGAGCAAGCACUUUUGUUCAGAGCUCUUUUUAAAGGUAAUAAUAAUAAUAAUAAUAAUAAAAAGAGAGAGAGAGAGAAAAAAAAAAGAAAAAGAAAAAAAAGAAAGAGAAGAAAAGAAACACGCACUCUGAAGCCUGAAUAGCAGUGUUUCUGUCAUCUGUUGUCAUGACACACAGCUGACGUGGGAACACGACAGUAAGGCUGACUGCUAGAUGGGUUUAAUUUUGGUGCAGAAAUUUGCUAGAAGAAGCUUUCAAAAAUAUCUCUGGGUGGGAGGAAAACAGGUGGGUGCUGGUUGUGUGUACGUAGCAGGAGGAAAUAGUUGUCAAUCUUACCCAAGCAUUACUCCACAUCCAUCAGCCCUUUGGUACCCUCUCUACUCAAUGAGGGAAACAAGUGAUGCUGUAUCUCGUUGUUCCUCUCUCCUGCUACUUUUGGAGAAAGUGCUGGUGGAACAGAGUGCAGAGAGAGAACAUAGAAUGACUGAAUAGCAACAUGGUUGGCUUGGUCAAAGUACACAUUGUUUGCUCUAUCUUGGUAAAGACAUCCGUACUCAGCACAGGAAGACAAUGUCAGUAUCAUCCAUUGAAGCCAAAUAAUGGUGAGAUCCUUUCAGGAGAGACUUGUGGGCAACUGAGUCUGAAAUGACAGCUAAUGUUGGAGAAUGGCCCUCAUGGUGAGUAGUGAAUGAUCUGUAGGAAAACCGAGAUGUAGUUUCUGUGGUUGUGGUUGUCCAUCUGGGUGAGUGAGUGGACUCAGUAUCAUGGGUGGACUUCUCAGCACUGUGUUUUCAUUUCCCAUACACAUCUUUGUUUCAAAAAGGUCUCAUUUUUCCCCUUCAGUAUCUGUAGGCAAUUCAUACUGGCUUCUAGAUGUUCCUAAGCAGUCACAGACUUUGCUGGCUACCAAAGAACGUAGGUGUCCAGAAAUAUUCUCUAAAAAUCACUCUGCUAACCCAUUUGAAGCUCAUUUUCCUCUUCUACAAACUACUCUAUAUUAGCACAUUUCUCAUCUCUUAGUCUUUGUCAUCUUGACUAAUGACUUUACUCAUCUGUACUAGUUUACUCACUCGUUUCAAUACUUUGCUAGAUCACAGGAACAUUUUGUGACUUAAUUAAAUUAUCAGUUAGAGCUCAGAGGUCUUUGAAUGAAAACUGUUAUGUUCUGUAACAGCAGAAUACUAUGAUUACAGUUCUGGAAAACAUACUACAGUGUAGAGACUUCAUUUCUCUUUCAUAUUUGCUGUUUGGACAUUGGCAGAAGUGAUGGUGGUGAGACUGGAGCUGAAGACUCCAACCUCAACUCUGAGCAAAAAGCUUGGAAAAAAAACCAUUGUUUGAGACAGAGAAGAUUGAAAGAAAACCAUUGCAAAUCAUUUGUAUGAACUGAUAAAAGCAGGGAAGGAAGAGAAAGAGCUUUGGAGAGGAGACGUGGAGGAAGAGGACACAAGUCUGUGUGAGCAAGAGAGUAGUUCAUGUUUCUUGUGAACUAUAGAUUCUACCUGAUGUGGUCAUAAUCCAAUGGGAAACUAUAGCGUUUCCUUUAAUCUCAUUCUCAUUGUGUCUUAACUUUGUCUGAAAAUCUGAUUUGACCCAUAUCAUGGCUGUAUUCUCAGUAUGUCAAAUGCCUCCUUUCUGCCCCCUACUAGAAGCCCCAUUUGAGAAGCUUUGUUAAAUGGAAAAUGUAUUAUCAAUGAUUCCCUUGCAUCUUUGUUGUUUGUUUGUUUGUUUGUUUCAUUCCCCUCCAUUUGUAAUCCUCACAUUCUUCUUUCUGUUUGUAGCCUCUGCUCUGUAUAUUCCAUGACGUGCUCAAAAAUUCUGAAUAAUUUCCACUGUGGAUUCUAAAAACGAUUUACCAUUUCCAGAAAGCGGCAGCAACAAUCAGUCUCUUAUGCAGAUUGCCACCUUGUUGCUACUUGCCAAACUGUCUCAUAUUUCUCACAGCUCACAACUGGUACACCCUGGGACUCCUGACCUUCCUUCUGGAAGUGUGCAAGCCAUUACCGUAUACAUUUAUGCUGGCUGAAGUAGCUGUUGAUUUUAUGUAGGCUAGGAGGUGUUGACCCAGCUCCUUACCAAACUCCCCCUUCUACUUAGUCCAGGACACAUCCAUCUGGUUCAGCCAUCAGAAGAUGCGUUUGCUGUUCAGUGACAACUUUGAAAGGAAGUCUAUGCUUGGUGGGUGACUUUGGAGCUAUUGGGUAAAACUUCAACUAGCUACAGCAUGUCCAUGAUACCCUCCUUCUUGCACAUGGAGUGGUGGCAGGGGAAAAAAUGGAGAAUGAGAAUUCUUUUCCUGUUGUCCUGUCACAGUUUUUCCUUUCCCUUUCCCUUUCUUUUCCUUUUUUUUCUCUUUUUUUUCCUUUUCCUUUUCUAUCACUUAAAUUCCAGGGCACUGGGAAAAAAAUUAGUUUGAGGUUUGACAAUGCGGAAAUAAUUAUAUGAGAAAAUAUAAGCGUUGGCUUUAGUGGAAAUCUAGCUUACUAUGCUAAACAAAGACAUUCAUUUUCCCUUCCUCCUAGUUCUCACACUUCAAAUAAUUUUUUCUAGCCACCUUGAAAGGGCAGCUUUUGCAGUAGCAUUCUUCCUACAUAAACAGCCCUUUAUUUAUAUAAACAUCUCUGUCUUUAGUUGAAAGGUUGCUUUCCAGCGUGCAAAUAGCAGCUAUGCCCUUUCAGGCAGAAUACCCUAAACAAGAAAUGUCUCAAUUACACUUUAAAAAAUUGUGUUUUCUUUGUAGACUCUCCUCUCCUCUGCCUGCUCCAGACUGAAGGUAAAAUGACUGCAUGUCUGAAGACAGCAGAUGUCUCAGAGAUGUAAAUGUUCAGCACUCCUGAAUCAAAGCCACAGCAUAACUGAAUACACUACUGUAUAAAGAAAAUAUUGACUGUCUUUGUAUUUGUUUGCUUUCUGUGUAGGGGUAGAAAAUACUAGUAAUGUUUAAACACCUCUUUAGAGUCAUUACAAGAUAUUGUGCAAAUAUAGUAAAUUUUCCCCAGUAAGCAGGCAUGAAAUAUACAUUUGCUUAUCAGAACGAAACAGUUCCAGGGGAGGCCUUGAUGUCUGUCAGGUGAAUCAUCUAAUCUUCAGUUUUAAUAUAUUGAACUGGGUAAAUAAGUCACUUUUUAGAGGUGUCUAAAUAUACAUUUCCCCGAGAGAGCUUUUUCACUCUCUAGAGUAAGCAAAUCAUGCUUAUAUAAAGAUUUUUUUUUUCUUAUUUAAAAGGUGUGGUUACCUGAGUAAAUAGUUGCAGCAUAAGUACUUACUGUACGUACCAAACAUACUUGAUUACAUGCAUUUGUCUCUGUAAUAAUACCUAUUGCCAAGCUACAUCAGCUGCUCAGGAUUUAAUAAUCAGUUGUAAGAUAUUUCCCCCUCCCACUUAGGAAAGAAAGCAAAGGAAAAAGAAUCCAGAUACAAAUUUCACAAUCAGCAAAAUUGCCAUACCUCUUAGGAAUUUUAAAGGUAUAACAUAACCUGACAAAAAACAGGAAAUUAAAAUGCAAAACCAGUGCUGUGUCCUUAACUCACCCUUUUGUGCUUUUUCUUAUUACCAUGCAGAAGAACACAGCCAUUUCUUCUGUGAAUCUUUGCAACACUAUGCUUCCCUGAUGAAUUUUCAAAAUGACUUAUUCUUGCUGUUAGUUAUCUCCAGAACUGUUAUGGUAGGUCAUCUAGUACAUCACUUCCAAAGUGCAAUUAAUCCCUACUGCACAUUUACAAGGGCUUAUCCUGCCUAAUGUAAGUGUCCUGUGUGACCUUCUUUUUCUCUUUGCUUCACUACUGAGUUAUUUUUAGGGCUUGAAAUAUAUAUUUUUAAUCAGUUUUAAUCAGGAUUUUUCUCCUGAUUUCUUUAAUUUUGUAACAUAAACAGGUGUUUGGUCUUUCCUUUCAGUUGCUUAGUAUCCUUCACUGUAUUUUCUUCUCUUCUGCCAAAACAGUAUCUGGGAGUAUUGUCCUCCUCCUCAUCUGUUUGGGGCUUAGCUUCUCAGCUCCCUUUUGCAUGUGAGUCCUUGGCAUCUAGCUCCCUCUCACAGGGCUGUUCUUCACUGCUGUAUUGGGAGUGCUAUGUCCUCUGUUUGUCAGCCUGGCCAGGCUCCCUCAAUUUCCAGCCCCAAAAGCUUUAAUGUUGAAGCACUGCCAAAAUUUAUUUAGGAAGUGUUUUAAAGCUAGGUGCUGUCCUUCUCUUCUUGCCUUUCUUUGCAACUCCCACCUUGAGGAUUUUGCCUGAAUUUGAAAACCAUCUUGAAGACUUCAGUAGAAAGUGCAUGUCUCAGGUUCUUAUCCCAUUUUAUUUUCUCUGAAAACCACCCAGACCAUUUGGCCUUUGUAGUUUCUCCCUGAGGCAGGGCAUCUAAAUUACACCAAGCCUCAUUCACCAGGGUGCCUGAUGAGCACUGUCUGACAUUGCUCCUGCCUGAUCUGGGCUCUUCACAGGAAACAAAUGAGAUUCAUUUUGGCUGUGACUUGUGCUAAUAAUGUAUCUAUACAGAAAUUACUAGGGGAUGCUAUGGUUUGCAUGUACUGAGCUAGAUGCAGAUGCCCUGGAAAGAUCAUGCAUGGCAGAGUCUCACAUUGUCAUGUAAGAGCUAGAUUAUAAGAGUUUUUGUUUUGCUCAUUUUGUUUUGUAGCCACUUGGCUGGGUCAGGUUUUCUCAAUUAAGCACGUGAUUCACCAGUCCUCUCUGUGUUCUCAGUGGUUUUCUUUCCUAACAUUUAACUUUUGCUAAUGCGAGGAGGGAGAAUACCUAUCUGCAGAACUUUUAUUUUCACUCAUGGGAUUUGUACAAUAAUUAAUGUGUGAGAAGCACUAGUGGGAACUUAUUUAUUAAAGGUAAGUAGCAGUAUGACUUCGUACAGCCUAUUGCCAAGAAACAGAUGAUAGCACAUUGCUGUAUUAUCUACUCUGCUGUUAUGAAUCUGGGAAUAAACUACAACAUCUUCUAACAGCCUUUAGCAUUUCCUUUGUUUUAUUUCCCUUACCUUUAACCAUAAUGCAAAGGAAGGAACUGCUUGUUAGCUUUGCCUAGUGUAUUGUUCAUAGCAAUUCUGCACAGUUUUGCUGGCAUCCAGAGGAUUGAAACAGGCACAGACUGUUUUUGGAGGCUGAGUUAGAGUGGAAUAAAGCUCUCAUCCCAGAUUUUGUCUGAUUCUGAAAGGAAGUAGCUGGUGAUCCUCUGCUGGUUUAUAUGCAAAGGAUUUUUUUGCUUGAACUCCUUGAUUGCAUUGAUAGUACAAAUAUUUACAUGAUAAGUACAAACAUUUAUAUUGUUAUUAGUAGUAGUAUGAGAAAAGAAAAGCAAAUGAACUGUUACCUUUUUUACUUAGAGACCAGGAGAUCUUUUAUUCUGUUUGUAUAGGUCUUGCAUCAUUUGCUGGUCAAUUAUGAGCAUUUCCUUCAUUGUCUACUCAUUGUGAAGAAUAGCAGUGCCCCAUUCUGCAGGUUGUGGCUGGCACAUAGGACCUGUUCUGGAAAGAAACGUACAAGUGGAAGGGGAGAGAAAAAGGGAAGAACAGAAUGCUUUUAACUUGCUCUGUACAUGAUAGUGAUAGACUGCCUUCAAAGAGCGCUGGGGCUUUUGGAUAUCACAUAAGUGCAAAGAGUUGUCCAGCAAAUGCGGUAUUGCAAACUCUAGCACUUUUUCCACUUGGCAAGAUAUACUGCAAACAGGCAAGCUUGGAAGAAAUUGAGCAUUUCUCCACCACCUCUGUCCCUGCGAAGCCUCCCACACUGCUUCCUUGGUCAGCUGAACCAUACCUAUUUUUAUGAGAAGAAGUGGUAUCCACAGAAAUGAAGUCAGGCAUAUGCUCUCCUGGGAUGAAGCACAAGGUCUCAGCAGCCACAGCAAGUAAAACCCUUCCAUUUCAUGACCGACUUAUGGUGAACUCCAUACACCCCUGCAUCUCUGCUGCACCUCUGCCAACACAAGCCAGCAUGGGGGAGAUCAGGGAUAUGGUAGACAGCCACAUGAAUAGGGUCAAACAGAGGAAGGUCCAGUGUCAACAGCACUUUCUGUUUGCAAGGUCGUGCCUAGCAUCUCGCUUUUGAGGAAAGGCUGAGAGACCUGGGACUGUUCAGACUGGAGAAGACCAAGAGGGGAUCUCACCAAUACUUAUAAAUGUCUAAUGAGUGGGAGUCAAGUGGAUGGGGUCAGGCUCUUUUUGCUGGUACUCAGAGACAGGACGAAGGUCAAGGGGCAAAAAGUGAAACACAGGAUAUUUUGUAAAAACAGGGAAAGAACAUCAUUACUUUGAGGGUGACAGAGUACUAGAACAGGCUGCCCAGGGAGGUAAUGGGGUCUCAUUCUCUGGAGGUAUUGAAAACCCGCCUGGAUGUCUUUGUGUGUAACCUACUGUAGGGAGUUGGCUUUAGCAGAGGUGUGGGACUAUGUGAUUUCCAGAGGUCUCUUCCAACCCCAGUGAUUCUGUGAUCCCACCAGUCACAUUACUGCCAGACCAACUGUUAAUAGAUCAUUAAAUACAAACCAGCAAAUAGAAUAGUGCUUUGAUGUUUUUGUUGAGCAUCUGCUAUAUCACCUGCCCUAUUAACACAGCUAAAUAGGCAAAUCAGAAGUAGCAGCAGUCAUUCUGAAUAGGUAUAGCAUGUCAUUCCCAGUGCUGAGAAUGGAUAUUUUUCCUGAGCAAUUUAGCUACAGCUGCAGCUUUUUCAGCUGAAUGCUGCAGCAGAUGGAAGAAGCCUGUGUGUUCAGAAAGUGUGGUGGUUUUUCAAUAGUAGGUGAUUGCGUGGAUCAAGUUAUGUGUGCCACCCACAACAUACUUUUCUCUAUGCCCUUGUAUGGUGCGCUUAUGUAGUUAAUUGCACACCUGCUUAUACCACACAAGAGAGGAAAAGCAAAAUAUAUUUAGGCCCACUUGAAUUAAGUAAGUUGUUUUAUUGAAAUUGCCCACGUUUUCUUUGAUUUUCAAGAUGUUUGAAGGAAUAGCUAUUUACAUGCCAGAAAUAUUUGAAGUCAAGCUUCUCCACGUUUCAAGGAUUAAACAUGAAAGUAUUAGGAAGGCAAGAGAAAACAGCAUGCUAGAAUGAUGGAUCUCAGAAAGAAUUAAAAUGAACAAUGCUCUCCAGUUACGCUUUCAUCUCCUUUUAUAGACAGUUAUGAUAUUAAGUAUCAUUCACCACUCAUCAUGUUUCUUCAGCGUUAAAAUGAAGAUGACUGAUCAUUUUUGCCAUUUCCUCCUGCAGUACACUAAAGAUACACGCUAAUGUUGCUACCGAUGGAAAAAUAACCCAUUUAGCUGAGUGCUGUUUAAGAGAUUGUAUUCACAACUUCUUUCAUUUCACACAAAUUAAACAAAUGAUUCCCAUUGUCUGAUCAAGUAUCUACUACACUCUGCCAUCUUGUAGUGAGAUGUACAGGCACACCUCAAAGUAUUCUGUUCAUUAUUUUCAUUUUCUAUAUAGGGAACUGAUAGAAAUGGUAGAUAAAUGGUAUUAUUCAAGGGCUGCUCCAAAAGUAAUGCCUCCUGUUUUAUGAUGAUGGCCCGCAGUGUCAGAGGAGAAUGUCAACGGUAUGGCAGUAGAGACCGAGCUUUCUCAGCAAUACUCUGUUAUUUUGUUGAUAUGUGACAGAUGGCAGCAGAGGGGCAGUCUGACAGGAUGGCGUCUGACAUGGAAGUGCACGUGAAGCAAAAGUGUGUUGUUGAGUUCCGACAUCUGGAAAAAAUUGUACCCAUUCACAUACACUGAUGCUUGCUGAAUUUUUAUAGAGACCAGUCAGUGCAUGUGAGCACAGUGAGGCGGUGAGUGGUGUGUUUCAGCAGUGACAGUGGAUCACCUCCACUGGUACGGACAUUUAUGAGUGUGGCAUGCAGGCUCCUGUUCAUUGCUGGUGAAGAUGCAUAGCUACUGGUGGCACCUAUGUUGAAAGAGAUUGUUUUGUAGCUGAGAAUUUACACUACCAAGUAUUGUUAUUGUGCUCUUUGUAUCUGUUGUAGUUUGCAUGGAAAUAAUUAGGAGACAUUACUUUUGUCCUGACCUAUGUGCUUAGCACUGGAGCUGAAUUAAUACAAAUGUAAAACUGGGGAAAACACUCAUAGUCCAUGAGAGGCUAUACAUCACAAAGAUCUUAUACUAAUUAGGAUAUUGGCUUCAUAAAAGCCACUUUCAUAUUCUAGUAACAAAGGAGGCAGUCUGUGCAUUUUUUCCUCUCCAACAUGGACUAGUUUUUUUGUGGUUCAGUGCAGCAUAGUAAAAACUCACAUGACACAAGGACUCUAAGCGCAAAGGGAAUCUUACUGUGUCCCAAGUCUUCCAGAAACAGCAGUAAAACAUUUUAAAUAGUGAAUCAGACAGAAACCAGUCUAACUAAUACAACAAAUAGGCCUGUAGAAAACUGACCUGGCUGCCAAAAUCUGACCCUAAUGUCAUACAACUGCCAGUAAAAAAACACCUUUUUGAUGGCAUCACAGGUCAGAAUGUUCUUUCUUCUUUUAUGCUCUCUAAUGGAGGAACAGAAAAAUAAAACUCAGUGUAUUUGUGAAGCAAGUAAUCAUGGCACGCUAUUUGGGUUGUUCUUUGGCCUCCAUGUUAAUCAUGAGCACUUGUUCUGCUUGGCAGUGGCUCUAGGAAAUAGCUCCCAGGCAUUCUGGUGGCUGCUGGUAAUGUUUGUACUUCAGGAAAUUGAGUCACCUCUGCCAUUCUGUGGAAACAUAUUUCAGUUACAAUAAGAAUAAAUACUGCAUU